RNAcentral lists this small RNA (4532 nucleotides) under Pongo abelii (Sumatran orangutan). RNAcentral's name for it is "retained intron". The record is from RNAcentral. Lineage: Eukaryota; Metazoa; Chordata; Mammalia; Primates; Hominidae.
GUCUCACGGCCGGAGUUGGUGGUCUGGGAACCCACGUGGGCUGGGUUUCAGAUUGCUCUGCUGGUUCGGCCCGCUGGAGCGCCCACCCGGGCCUAGUCGCCAUGGGGAAGCUGCGCCGGCGGUACAACAUCAAGGGGCGCCAGCAGGCGGGCCCCGGCCCCUCGAAGGGCCCCCCCGAGCCGCCCCCCGUGCAGCUGGAACUGGAGGACAAGGACACGUUGAAGGGAGUUGAUGCAAGCAACGCGCUCGUUCUACCGGGGAAGAAGAAAAAGAAGACCAAAGCCCCUCCCCUGUCAAAGAAGGAGAAGAAGCCUCUGACCAAGAAGGAGAAGAAAGUGCUGCAGAAAAUCUUAGAACAGAAGGAGAAAAAGAGCCAGCGAGCAGAGAUGCUACAGAAGCUGAGUGAAGUCCAGGCUUCCGAAGCUGAGAUGAGACUCUUUUAUACCACUUCCAAGCUAGGCACUGGGGACCGCAUGUACCACACCAAAGAGAAGCCUGACGAGGUGGUAGCCCCGGGCCAGGAGAAGAUCAGCAGCCUCAGCGGUGCCCACCGGAAGCGUCGCCGCUGGCCCUCAGCUGAGGAGGAGGAGGAGGAGGAGGAGUCGGAAUCAGAGCUGGAGGAGGAGUCGGAGCUGGCCGAGGACCCGGCUGCUGAGCCGGCUGAGGCUGGUAUGGGGACCACCGUGGCACCUCUGCCGCCAGCUCCAGCACCCAGCAGUCAGCCCGUGCUGGCUGGGAUGUCUGUUCCUCCUCCUCCAGCUGCAGCCCCACCACUGCCCAGGGCCCUGGCUAAGCCCGCUGUCUUCAUCCCUGUGAACCGCUCCCCGGAAAUGCAGGAAGAACGGCUGAAGCUCCCAAUUCUCUCUGAAGAACAAGUAAUCAUGGAGGCUGUGGCCGAGCACCCCAUCGUCAUCGUGUGUGGGGAGACCGGCAGUGGGAAGACGACACAGGUGCCUCAGUUUCUCUAUGAAGCAGGCUACAGCAGUGAAGACAGCAUCAUCGGUGUCACGGAGCCCCGCCGAGUGGCCGCCAUGGCCAUGUCCCAGCGAGUGGCCAAGGAGAUGAAUCUGUCCCAGCGGGUGGUCUCCUACCAGAUCCGAUAUGAAGGAAACGUGACAGAGGAGACCAGGAUCAAGUUCAUGACGGAUGGUGUGCUGCUCAAAGAAAUCCAGAAGGACUUCCUGCUGCUGCGGUACAAGGUGGUGAUCAUCGACGAGGCCCACGAGAGGAGCGUGUACACGGACAUCCUCAUCGGCCUCCUGUCUCGCAUUGUGACUCUCCGGGCCAAGAGGAACCUGCCACUCAAGCUGCUCAUCAUGUCGGCCACGCUGCGCGUGGAGGACUUCACCCAGAACUCGCGGCUCUUCGCCAAGCCGCCACCGGUCAUCAAGGUGGAAUCCAGGCAGUUCCCAGUGACUGUGCAUUUCAACAAGCGGACGCCGCUGGAAGACUACAGCGGCGAGUGCUUCCGGAAGGUCUGCAAGAUCCACCGGAUGCUGCCCGCAGGUGGCAUCCUGGUGUUCCUGACGGGGCAGGCUGAGGUGCAUGCGCUGUGCCGCAGGCUCAGGAAGGCUUUCCCACCCUCCAGAGCCCGGCCACAAGAAAAGGACGACGAUCAGAAAGACUCGGCGGAGGAAAUGCGGAAGUUUAAGAAGUCGAGGGCCAGGGCCAAGAAGGCGCGGGCCGAGGUGCUGCCCCAGAUCAACUUGGAUCAUUACUCGGUGUUACCGGCAGGCGAAGGCGAUGAGGACAGGGAGGCAGAAGUGGAUGAGGAAGAGGGGGCCCUGGACUCCGACCUCGAUCUGGACCUGGGGGAUGGCGGGCAAGAUGAAGGUGAGCAGCCGGAUGCCUCCCUCCCGCUUCACGUGCUCCCGCUGUACUCUCUGCUGGCCCCAGAGAAGCAAGCACAGGUCUUUAAGCCUCCACCGGAGGGGACUCGGUUGUGUGUUGUGGCCACCAAUGUGGCCGAGACGUCUCUCACCAUCCCUGGCAUCAAGUAUGUGGUGGACUGUGGGAAGGUUAAGAAGCGCUACUACGACCGUGUCACCGGCGUGUCCUCCUUCCAUGUCACCUGGGUCUCCCAGGCAUCAGCUGACCAGCGAGCGGGCAGAGCAGGACGGACAGAGCCCGGCCACUGCUACAGGCUGUAUUCAUCUGCGGUUUUUGGUGACUUCGAGCAGUUUCCUCCUCCAGAAAUCACCCGGAGGCCUGUUGAAGACUUAAUCCUUCAAAUGAAAGCUCUCAACAUUGAAAAGGUCAUCAACUUCCCCUUCCCAACACCCCCCUCCAUGGAAGCCCUUCUUGCCGCCGAGGAGCUGUUGAUCGCACUGGGUGCCCUGCAACCACCCCAGAAAGCAGAAAGGGUGAAGCAACUGCAGAAGAACCGGCUGAGCUGCCCCAUCACUGCACUGGGCCGGACAAUGGCCACGUUCCCCGUGGCACCCCGCUACGCCAAGAUGCUGGCGCUGAGCCGGCAACACGGCUGCCUGCCCUAUGCCAUCACCAUCGUGGCCAGCAUGACGGUGCGGGAGCUGUUUGAGGAGCUGGACAGACCAGCGGCCAGUGACGAGGAGCUUGCCAGGCUGAAGAGCAAGCGGGCCCGGGUGGCCCAGAUGAAGAGGACCUGGGCAGGGCAGGGGGCUUCUCUGAAGCUCGGCGACCUCAUGGUGCUGCUGGGCGCCGUGGGAGCCUGCGAGUACGCCGGCUGCACACCCCAGUUUUGCGAAGCCAACGGGCUGCGGUACAAAGCCAUGAUGGAGAUCCGGCGCCUGCGGGGCCAGCUGACCACCGCAGUCAAUGCCGUGUGCCCCGAGGCUGAGCUCUUCGUGGAUCCCAAGAUGCAGCCGCCCACCGAGAGCCAGGUGACCUACCUGCGACAGAUUGUGACGGCCGGCCUGGGGGACCACCUGGCCCGCAGGGUCCAGAGCGAGGAGCUGCUGGAGGACAAGUGGAGGAACGCCUACAAGACCCCUCUCCUCGACGACCCUGUCUUCAUCCACCCCAGCUCCGUCCUUUUCAAAGAGCUCCCGGAGUUUGUGGUCUACCAGGAAAUCGUGGAGACCACUAAGAUGUACAUGAAAGGCGUCUCUAGCGUGGAGGUCCAGUGGAUCCCGGCCCUGCUGCCCUCUUACUGCCAGUUUGACAAGCCCCUGGAGGAGCCAGCCCCUACCUACUGCCACGAGCGGGGGCGGGUGCUGUGUCACCGGGCCAGUGUGUUCUAUCGCGUGGGCUGGCCGCUCCCCGCCAUCGAGGUGGAUUUUCCAGAGGGCAUUGACCGCUACAAGCACUUUGCCCGGUUCCUGCUGGAAGGGCAGGUCUUCCGCAAGCUGUCCUCAUACCAGAGCUGUCUGCUGUCCAGCCCCGGCACCAUGCUGAAGACGUGGGCCAGGCUGCAGCCCCGUACGGAGAGCCUUCUGCGAGCCCUGGUUGCAGAGAAGGCUGACUGCCAUGAAGCCUUGCUGGCUGCUUGGAAGAAAAACCCCAAAUACCUGCUGGCUGAGUACUGUGAGUGGCUGCCACAGGCCGUGCACCCCGAUAUCGAGAAAGCCUGGCCCCCCACCACUGUCCACUGACCAGAGCCGAGGACUGGUUUGGGGACUGGAGGGAUGGCAGCAGCCUGUCACCCUGCGACCGUGACCACCUGGCAUGGGCUUCAUGGCCUGCUCUCAGGAAGCAGGUCAAGCCCUGGGAACCCUCGUCCAUGAGAGCUUGAUUCCGUAUGAAGCGUGCUGCCGCCCGUGCCAUCUGGCCCGGGGGUGACUUUUUGAACUGUUUAUUAUAUGGUAGAUGAUGAUUUCAUCUCAUGUGCUGGACGCUGUUCUGUUCAGUGUGCUCUUUGGGCUACAUUAGUCCCCUGUGGAGCAGCAGGGCUGGAGGCCUCCAGUCCCUUCCCUGCCCGCCCUGCCAGAAGGCCGAGGAGGCACGUGGAGGGCCUCCUUCCUGCAAUUCUUCCCUCUCUAGAGUCAGGGAGGACGCCCAGCCCUGGCCUCAUGGCCGUUCCAGAUAUUAGGUGAGCCACCGAGCUCUGCAUUGACCUUGAGGGGCCUGGCUGGGGGCCCCCAGGCUCCAUGCCUUCUUGGGAGGGUGGCCGCCAGCACCUUUCCUGUGUUACGGCAACAGGGAGUGGGCAUCUCGUCUGCCUGUGGUCAGCUCUCAGAUGGCAGGGAGCGGAGCUGACCUUGGCUGUGCUUGGUCACCGCUGCCAUGCCGCAGAGGAUGCGCCUAGCUGGGCUGGGGCCACACGACUAUUAUGUCGGCCUUGAAUGGGGACUGCAGAGCCCUCAGUUUGUCUCCCUUGUUCUUCUGUGGCCGAGGUGGGAGGGGGAGGGUGGGGUAGGUCCCCCAGCAAGAAAGAGGGACAGGAGCGCCCCAGGCAGGACCAAGGAGUCGGGAGGCCCCUGCCCUUCCGUCCUCCAUGGUGAGGGCACAGACGUCUCCCCAGAGCCCAGCGCUGGCAGGAUGGAUUCUGCUCCUGGCUUUGCUUCUGCGGCUUCGGUGGAGACAGUUAUGGAAUAAAAUGUUCCUUGCACCCA